RNAcentral lists this long non-coding RNA (528 nucleotides) under Apteryx owenii (little spotted kiwi). Its description in RNAcentral is "lncRNA (ENSAOWG00000012070.1)". The record is from RNAcentral. Lineage: Eukaryota; Metazoa; Chordata; Aves; Apterygiformes; Apterygidae.
UUCUUCACUCCAACAGUGAAGAAUGAAGAAACUUCUCGUUUCUCUCAUAGCAAAAUGCUCUCUCCCUUCAGAUAGUCUAAGAUCUGCAGUUGUUUCUAAGUUUUUUUGUAGAUCUACUUACCAACAACUACUGAAGAUGAAUGAAUUUAAAUACAAGUACAAUCAGCUAAGCUACACCUCCCUGAGGAAAUGAUGACAUCCCAGUGGUGUGCUGCUGUCUUGGAGUGUUUUGAAGCCCAGGUUGCUGGCCUGGUGGAAACGUUUCUGGUGGAGGUAGACAGUGCAAACUCUAUCAGUUCACAAGCAGUAUCAAAGACAGGGGAGUUUUACCAUAACAUUACAAAGAAUUUUAUUAUGCUUGUGGAGCUGAUACAACGAGCAUAUAAGCAAUGGACCCAGGUCUACAAGCACCUGCGCAACCAUGGUUACGAUUCCAAGCUGCAUCCAUGUACUGAAUGUGAGAUGUUUCUUACAAAUAUCAUGGGACAUCUAGACCCUCUUGGAUCACUGGCUUCAGCUCUAUCAUGA